GAUGAUGUAUUUCAUGAACGAACGAAGUACAUUGAGAACGAUUGUCACUUUGUUCGUCAUCAUCUCUAGAGCAACACUCUCCAUCUCCAAUCCAUCUCCACCAAUGACCAACCUGCCGAUAUCUUCACCAAAGCUUUCCCUUCUCCACGUUUCACUCUGUUACUUCACAAACUCAAGGUGGCUUCUACUCUACCAACUUGAGUUUGAGGGAAGGCAUUGUCGAAAUUAGAGUAAUUUGACUAAAAUCUUGGCAUAUAUUAGUGUAUUUAUUAUUUUGGGUAUAUGUACACUUUGUAUUAUUGGAAUUAUACAAGUUAUUCAAAUAUAUUAAGAGUCCUUGUUCUUGUUUGUCUGUUACAAACUUAGAAGUAACUCACCGUUGCAUCCUACCAUUUUGAGUAUCUGGAAUGCUUUGGAGUCAUUCGUAAUCCACUGUGCCUGAAUACUUAGAUAUAGAAAUUAAAGUUUUCUAUUCUCUUAUUUUUCACUUUUCAGAUCACCAUUCCUCAGUCGACUGAAACAAGCAGGAAGCUGAUAUUAGAUGAUGGAAAUGGAGAGUGCGUGCUCUACACAAGCUCUCUUGUUUCUGGACAAGACACUUUUUCUGCGUCUCCCCUCAUUAGACCAGCUAGCAACACCAGUAACAGGUGCGUAUUUCUUAAUUCUUGCAGUCCUAAUCUUGCGGGAUUCUUGGGCUUGCUGCAAGUUUAUUAGGAGGCAAGCAGGUGGUAUCCCAUACCAAGAGCUUGAAAUGGCAGUGCCAGAAUCUUCCUCAGCUUGGAACUGCUGAAGGUUGGGAUGAUGAUUGGGAUGAAUAAAAAUUCUGUGAAUUCACCAGGGAGGCCUCAUAUUGGAAACAUUUCAGCUAAUGAGCUUACUGCUAGGUCCAACAAAGAUGGGUGGGAGAAUGAUUGGGAUGUUUAGUUAAUGAAACAGCGUGAAAAGAAAACAAACUUCUGGUCUAUCGACAAACUGGAAGGCAGGAAGAACAACAAUGCGAAUCACAUGACGUUGCCCUGAAGUUAUUCCCUAGUCGAAUGUAACUGUAAACCUUCUUCCUAUAUCUGAUUAGGUUAUAGAGUUUGUACUUGUAGCCGUCGCAUAUUGGGUCAGAAGCCAAAGCUGUUUCAUACCAAGUUUAGGGUUUGUUUUGGUGCGAUGUAGAAUGCAUGGCUUUUAAUGUCCUUUUUGAAUUUUUACUUUUUUAGAUAACAGUUCCAAUUUUUUAUUUAUGAUAGCUUUACAUUAUAUAAAUGUUCAUGCGAGCUUUAAAAUUAUGAUUGGGUUUGCCAUUGCAAAACAUUGGUAAGAGAACCAUAAAUGAUACAAUACACAUGCUCAUGUGCGAGCAUCCGUAUCUUUUUGGGAAUGGGGAACAGGUUCUCUCUCUAUAACCUGUAAUAAUUUUGAAUACACUCUUCUGAAUUACGUUUUUUGUAUUGAUUACUGGUAAGCACUACCUCUAAUGUAUUGUCACGCCUGAAUUUUAUUUUUACCUCCGCGUGCUUCUUUUUCCUUUUAUACAUGUCGGGAGUAAUUGUGAAACUGCUUUGUUGUCUCUUACUGAAGCAAAAGCGCAGAGAAGGCCGAUUUAAUAAUUCUGUUUCCUACGUUAUUCUGUCUUUUAAAGUUUUGAUUUUUUGUUUUUGUUUGUUAAUUUUUGUUUUCUAAAUAAACAAUGGGUUUUACUUGAACUGCUUACAGGACGCUUUCCUAUAUACAUAUACUUUUGGAUGAUUCCUUUUAUGUUACUGCUUCUGCUCUUGGCAAUUAUGCAUUUGGAUUGAGUAUUACGAUACAUAAUAACUUCUAACAUGAUUUUGAACAGUUAGUUUCUUUAACUUAAAUCUUUGAUUGCCCCUGCAUUAAGGAAUCAAGAUAAAGAUAAAGGAAGAGGAAUAACGAUGGGUCCCAUCAUGAAAUGACAUCAUAUGGAGAAGAAAAAAGGUGUUGCUAUUUUAAAGGGUUGCAAGUGCUAAGGAGGACCCGCCUGUAAAUGAGGGUAUUGAUUAUAUUGAAGGCAUUUUGAAUGGGGUUCACAGUUCACUAGGCGGGGGCUUACAUUCAUUGUGAGAUGUGGGAAGCUGCACUAGGAAGCUUUUCCUUGAAAUAGUGAGAAUGAGUUGGGCAUAUCAUUACCAUCGCAUAAUAGGAGUGGCUAAAGAUAGCAACCCAUGCCCAUCUCAAUCACAAGUAUUUGGAAAUGGUGCAACUGCAGAAUACUAGAUAGAUUCUCCAUUGGGCACCUAUCUGCAUGCUGCAUCAGUGACGUACCUUCCAAAUCCUAUGGACAAAGAAUAUGGCAUAGGAAAUAAAAAUGUAACCAAGCAAAAGAUAGUUUGUCGACCAUGUUUGAAGGGAUAUACUAUAUGAAAUACUAUGUAACUCUUCAUGGUGAAAUGAAUAUGGUGUGGUGGAACUUUAAGAAAAUGAAUAAAAGAACUACAAGAAAAAUUACAGUAAAA
Cucumis sativus (cucumber) is the source of this 2465-nucleotide long non-coding RNA. RefSeq lists it as uncharacterized. The transcript has 3 exons. Lineage: Eukaryota; Viridiplantae; Streptophyta; Magnoliopsida; Cucurbitales; Cucurbitaceae. The record is from RefSeq and is a predicted model, not a curated record.